CAGCCCUUGACAUUUGGUGCUACUUCCAGAGAUGGAAGGUUCCCUUCGGGGACGCCAGGACAGGUGCUGCAUGGCUGUCGUCAGCUCGUGUCGUGAGAUGUUGGGUUAAGUCCCGCAACGAGCGCAACCCUCGCCCUUAGUUGCCAGCAUUCAGUUGGGCACUCUAGGGGGACUGCCGGUGAUAAGCCGAGAGGAAGGUGGGGAUGACGUCAAGUCCUCAUGGCCCUUACGGGCUGGGCUACACACGUGCUACAAUGGCGGUGACAGUGGGCAGCGAACUCGCGAGAGGGAGCUAAUCUCCAAAAGCCGUCUCAGUUCGGAUUGUUCUCUGCAACUCGAGAGCAUGAAGUUGGAAUCGCUAGAAAUGCGCGUAACAGCAUGACGCGGUGAAUACGUUCCC
RNAcentral lists this ribosomal RNA (400 nucleotides) under uncultured bacterium. RNAcentral's name for it is "bacterial SSU rRNA". It matches the Rfam family "Bacterial small subunit ribosomal RNA", at positions 975 to 1375 of the family's 1533-position model. The record is from RNAcentral.